UACAGAGGUCCCGAGCGUUGUUCGGAUUCACUGGGCGUAAAGGGUGCGUAGGUGGUGAGGCAAGUCGGAUGUGAAAGCUCCGGGCUCAACCCGGAAAUGGCAUUGGAAACUGCCUUGCUGGAGGUUUGGAGGGGGGACUGGAAUUCUCGGUGUAGCAGUGAAAUGCGUAGAUAUCGAGAGGAACACCAGUGGCGAAGGCGGGUCCCUGGACAACACCUGACACUGAGGCACGAAAGCUAGGGGAGCAAACAGG
Molecule: ribosomal RNA, 253 nt
Filed under: uncultured bacterium
Lineage: Bacteria
Description: partial 16S ribosomal RNA
Rfam family: Bacterial small subunit ribosomal RNA
Source: RNAcentral